ACCCGCGCCCCAAGUGGUGGUCGAUAUUAUUGAGCCUAAAACGUCCGUAGACGGUCUUCUAAAUCCUUGGGUAAAUCGGGCAGCUUAACUGUCCGAAGUCCGGGGAGACUGGGAGACUUGGGACCGGGAGAGGUCAGAGGUACUUCUGGGUCAGGGGUAGAAUCCUGUAAUCCUGGAAGGUCGGCCGGUGGCGAAGGCGUCUGACUGGAACGGAUCCGGCGGUGAGGGACGUAUCUGUGGGGCGCAAACGG
This 251-nucleotide ribosomal RNA is filed under the name uncultured prokaryote. Its description in RNAcentral is "partial 16S rRNA". It matches the Rfam family "Archaeal small subunit ribosomal RNA", at positions 475 to 726 of the family's 1478-position model. The record is from RNAcentral.